GCUGGGUGUGGUGGCGUGCACCUGUAAUCCCAGCUACUCAGGAGGCUGAGGCAGGAGAAUCGCUUGAACCUGGGAGGCGGAGGUUGCAGUGAGCGGAGAUUGCCCCACUGCACUCUGAGCAACAGAGUGAGACUCUGCGUCAAAAAAAAAACAAAAGACUUUUUAAACAAUUUGUUUUUUCAGACGGAGUUUUGCUCUUGUUGCCCAGGCUGGUGUGCAAUAGAGCCAUCUCGGCUCACUGCAAUCUCUGCCUCCCAGGUUCAAGCGAUUCUUCUGUCUCAG
RNAcentral lists this small RNA (282 nucleotides) under Callithrix jacchus (white-tufted-ear marmoset). RNAcentral's name for it is "Metazoan signal recognition particle RNA (ENSCJAG00000056324.2)". The record is from Rfam by way of RNAcentral. Lineage: Eukaryota; Metazoa; Chordata; Mammalia; Primates; Cebidae.